RNAcentral lists this long non-coding RNA (495 nucleotides) under Oryza brachyantha (malo sina). RNAcentral describes it as "long non-coding RNA (OBRA_LNC001956)". Lineage: Eukaryota; Viridiplantae; Streptophyta; Magnoliopsida; Poales; Poaceae. The record is from RNAcentral.
CACAUGUUAGAUCUCCCAUCAAUCUAUCUCUCCUUCGCUUAUGGGGUUCGCAUGUUCCUCUCCUUUCUCAAGUCCAUCUAAGAUGAGCAGUGGAGAGAUGGAUGAGGGCGCAUCAGGACUAUGACGAGGGAGCGGCCAUGACAAUAUCGGUUGAAUGUAUCUCUUGGUGUGACUCUUCCAUAGAUGGCGGUAGCCAGCAACAAGGAGGACUAAAGCAACGGGAAUACCACUAAUGAUUGAAGGCAAGGUCUUGGAACAGAGAGAAACAUUGGUGGUCAGCUCUCGUGGUGAACGUGACUAGCUGAGCGUGUCAAUAUGAGUUCUCGAAUGAUGCGGUUCCAUUUUCCUGAAACGGUGGUGUGGAUCUAGGCGAAAGGGUGGCCAUGGUGGCCAUCCAUGGUGAAAAAGAGGAAAGGAAAGUUGAGGGCAAACCCUCACCAAGGCGAUGUAGCACUGCCAGCGUGAUGGAGCACCAAGAGAAGUCUAGUGUCAUCG